Molecule: ribosomal RNA, 765 nt
Filed under: Triticum aestivum (bread wheat)
Lineage: Eukaryota; Viridiplantae; Streptophyta; Magnoliopsida; Poales; Poaceae
Description: partial small subunit ribosomal RNA
Source: RNAcentral
AUGUUGGAUCGCGGCAUCUGUCCCGACACAGUGUUCUUCAACACAAUUAUGGACCGCCUUUGCAAAAAUGAAAGGGUUAUGGAAGCCCAAGAUCUCUUCGACCUGAUGGUACACAUGGGUGUGAAGCCUGAUGUAUGUACUUAUAACACACUGAUAGGUGGAUACUUGUUUGUUGGUAAGAUGGAUGAAGUGAGCAAGUUACUUGACAAUAUGGUCUCAAUUGGCAUGGAACCAGAUGUUAUCACCUAUAACAUACUGAUUGAUGGUUACUCUAAGAAUGGAAAGAUAGAUGAUGCAUUGGUUGUUUUUAGGGGGAUAUUGGAAAGGAAGGAUAAGCCUUCUGUUAUCACUUUUAAUAUUAUGAUUGGUGCGUUGCUUAAAUGUCGCAGGAAGGAAGAAGCAAAAGAUUUGUUUGACGGUAUCUGGGCCAAAGGAUUAGUUCCUGAUGUUGUUACAUAUAGCUUAAUGAUACAAAAACUUAUAGAAGAAGGUUCUCUACAGGAGUCUGAUGAUCUAUUCCUUUCUAUGGAGAAGAAUGGUUAUCCUGCCAAUUCCUGCAUGCUAAAUGCUAUAGUUAGAAGGUUACUUCAGAAAGGGGAGAUGCCCAGGGCUGGGACUUAUUUGUCUAAAAUUGAUGAGAGGAAUUUCACCCUUGAAGCUUCCACAACUAGCUUGUUGACUGCACUUGCUUCAGUGGGGAAAUGUCAGGAAUAUAAGGGGUUACUGCCUGAAAAAUAUCAUUGUUUUCUGGAACAGGGCACUGAU